GAACGGGUUGGACUGGGAUUGGACUCCCA
This 29-nucleotide small RNA is filed under the name Bombyx mori (domestic silkworm). Its description in RNAcentral is "ovarian small RNA-15175". Lineage: Eukaryota; Metazoa; Arthropoda; Insecta; Lepidoptera; Bombycidae. The record is from RNAcentral.